RNAcentral lists this ribosomal RNA (460 nucleotides) under uncultured bacterium. RNAcentral's name for it is "partial 16S ribosomal RNA". It matches the Rfam family "Bacterial small subunit ribosomal RNA", at positions 338 to 795 of the family's 1533-position model. The record is from RNAcentral.
CCUACGGGAGGCUGCAGUGAGGAAUAUUGGUCAAUGGACGAGAGUCUGAACCAGCCAAGUAGCGUGAAGGAUGACUGCCCUAUGGGUUGUAAACUUCUUUUAUAUGGGAAUAAAAUGUUCCACGUGUGGGAUUUUGUAUGUACCAUAUGAAUAAGGAUCGGCUAACUCCGUGCCAGCAGCCGCGGUAAUACGGAGGAUCCGAGCGUUAUCCGGAUUUAUUGGGGUUAAAGGGAGCGUAGGUGGAUUGUUAAGGCAGUUGUGAAAGUUUGCGGCUCAACCGUAAAAUUGCAGUUGAAACUGGCAGUCUUGAGUCCGGUAGAGGUGGGCGGAAUUCGUGGUGUAGCGGUGAAAUGCUUAGAUAUCACGAAGAACUCCGAUUGCGAAGGCAGUUCACUGGACUGCAACUGACACUGAGGCUCGAAAGUGUGGGUAUCAAACAGGAUUAGAUACCCUUGUAGUC